RNAcentral lists this unclassified non-coding RNA (337 nucleotides) under soil metagenome. Its description in RNAcentral is "partial contains 5.8S ribosomal RNA, internal transcribed spacer 2, and large subunit ribosomal RNA". The stretch from base 1 to 120 matches the Rfam family "5.8S ribosomal RNA", at positions 35 to 154 of the family's 154-position model. The record is from RNAcentral.
GAUGAAGAACGCAGUGAAAUGCGAUAAGUAGUGUGAAUUGCAGAAUUCAGUGAAUCAUCGAAUCUUUGAACGCACAUUGCGCCCCUUGGUAUUCCAUGGGGCAUGCCUGUUCGAGCGUCAUUUGUACCUUCAAGCUCUGCUUGGUGUUGGGUGUUUGUCUCGCCUCUGCGCGUAGACUCGCCUCAAAACAAUUGGCAGCCGGCGUAUUGAUUUCGGAGCGCAGUACAUCUCGCGCCUUGCACUCAUAACGACGACGUCCAAAAGUACAUUUUUACACUCUUGACCUCGGAUCAGGUAGGGAUACCCGCUGAACUUAAGCAUAUCAAUAAGCGGAGGA